GUAGCUUAGUGGUAGAGCAUUUGCCUAACAUGCAUAAGGUCCUGGGUUCAAAAUCUAGC
Molecule: transfer RNA, 59 nt
Filed under: Urocitellus parryii (Arctic ground squirrel)
Lineage: Eukaryota; Metazoa; Chordata; Mammalia; Rodentia; Sciuridae
Also listed under: 2 other names
Description: Spermophilus parryii (Arctic ground squirrel) tRNA
Rfam family: tRNA
About the family: Transfer RNA (tRNA) molecules are approximately 80 nucleotides in length. Their secondary structure includes four short double-helical elements and three loops (D, anti-codon, and T loops).
Source: Rfam by way of RNAcentral